GCAUCGAUGAAGAACGCAGCGAAAUGCGAUACCUAGUGUGAAUUGCAGCCAUCGUGAAUCAUCGAGUUCUUGAACGCACAUUGCGCCCGCUGGUAUUCCGGCGGGCAUGCCUGUCUGAGCGUCGUUUCCUUCUUGGAGCGGAGCUUCAGACCUGGCGGGCUGUCUUUCGGGACGGCGCGCCCAAAGCGAGGGGCCUUCUGCGCGAACUAGACUGUGCGCGCGGGGCGGCCGGCGAACUUAUACCAAGCUCGACCUCAGAUCAGGCAGGAGUACCCGCUGAACUUAAGCAUAUCAAUAAGCGGAGGA
RNAcentral lists this ribosomal RNA (306 nucleotides) under Pichia fermentans. RNAcentral's name for it is "partial contains 5.8S ribosomal RNA, internal transcribed spacer 2 and large subunit ribosomal RNA". The stretch from base 1 to 124 matches the Rfam family "5.8S ribosomal RNA", at positions 30 to 154 of the family's 154-position model. Lineage: Eukaryota; Fungi; Ascomycota; Pichiomycetes; Pichiales; Pichiaceae. The record is from RNAcentral.